This is a non-coding RNA of Rattus norvegicus (Norway rat), 48 nucleotides long. NCBI's taxonomy places the organism in Eukaryota, Metazoa, Chordata, Mammalia, Rodentia, Muridae. The record is from Rfam.
AAAAAGGCUCUUUUAAGAGCCGCUUCCACUGUCCACAAGAGAUGCUGU